GAUGAAGAACGUAGCGAAAUGCGAUAAGUAAUGUGAAUUGCAGAAUUCAGUGAAUCAUCGAAUCUUUGAACGCACAUUGCGCCCGCCAGUACUCUGGCGGGCAUGCCUGUCCGAGCGUCAUUACAACCCUCAGGCCCCCGGGCCUGGCGUUGGGGAUCGGCAGAAGCCCCCUGUGGGCACACGCCGUCCCUCAAAUACAGUGGCGGUCCCGCCGCAGCUUCCAUUGCGUAGUAGCUAACACCUCGCAACUGGAGAGCGGCGCGGCCAUGCCGUAAAACACCCAACUUCUGAAUGUUGACCUCGAAUCAGGUAGGAAUACCCGCUGAACUUAAGCAUAUCAAUAAGCGGAGGA
Molecule: unclassified non-coding RNA, 352 nt
Filed under: soil metagenome
Description: partial contains 5.8S ribosomal RNA, internal transcribed spacer 2, and large subunit ribosomal RNA
Rfam family: 5.8S ribosomal RNA (bases 1-120)
Source: RNAcentral